This 809-nucleotide ribosomal RNA is filed under the name Sarcocystis miescheriana. Its description in RNAcentral is "SSU rRNA". It matches the Rfam family "Eukaryotic small subunit ribosomal RNA", at positions 332 to 1099 of the family's 1831-position model. Lineage: Eukaryota; Apicomplexa; Conoidasida; Eucoccidiorida; Sarcocystidae. The record is from RNAcentral.
UGUAUUGGACUACCGUGGCAGUGACGGGUAACGGGGAAUUAGGGUUCGAUUCCGGAGAGGGAGCCUGAGAAACGGCUACCACAUCUAAGGAAGGCAGCAGGCGCGCAAAUUACCCAAUCCUGACUCAGGGAGGUAGUGACAAGAAAUAACAACACUGGAAAUUUGAUUUCUAGUGAUUGGAAUGAUGGGAAUCCAAACCCCUUUCAGAGUAACAAUUGGAGGGCAAGUCUGGUGCCAGCAGCCGCGGUAAUUCCAGCUCCAAUAGCGUAUAUUAAAGUUGUUGCAGUUAAAAAGCUCGUAGUUGGAUGUCUGUUGGAAGCAAUCAUCAGUCCGCCCUAUUUGAUUAGGGUGUGAAUAUGAUGAAUUCCGGCAUAAUUGUCUCCCUAUUGUUAAUAUUCUGAUUGUUAGAUUCAUUUCUAACAAUAAUACGAUUAUUAAUAAUAAGGGGGAAGUGUUACUUUGAGAAAAUUAGAGUGUUUGAAGCAGGCUUUUGUUGCCUUGAAUACUGCAGCAUGGAAUAACAAUAUAGGAUUUCGGUUCUAUUUUGUUGGUUCUUUUUUUAGGACUGAAAUAAUGAUUAAUAGGGACAGUUGGGGGCAUUCGUAUUUAACUGUCAGAGGUGAAAUUCUUAGAUUUGUUAAAGACGAACUACUGCGAAAGCAUUUGCCAAAGAUGUUUUCAUUAAUCAAGAACGAAAGUUAGGGGCUCGAAGACGAUCAGAUACCGUCGUAGUCUUAACCAUAAACUAUGCCGACUAGAGAUAGGAAAUUGUCAUUUUACUUGACUUCUCCUGCACCUUAUGAGAAAUC